This 483-nucleotide ribosomal RNA is filed under the name uncultured bacterium. RNAcentral describes it as "bacterial SSU rRNA". It matches the Rfam family "Bacterial small subunit ribosomal RNA", at positions 33 to 507 of the family's 1533-position model. The record is from RNAcentral.
GACACGCUGGCGGCGUGGAUUAGGCAUGCAAGUCGAACGGUAUCAUCCUUUCGGGGGUGAGAGAGUGGCGAACUGGUGAGUAACACGUAGGUUAUCUACCUCAAGACGGGACAACCCAGGGAAACUUGGGCUAAUACCGGAUGUGAGCAACUUUUAGUUGUUUGAAAGGUGGCGUAAGCUGUCGCUUGGGGAUGAGCCUGCGUCCUAUUAGUUAGUUGGUGAGGUAACGGCUCACCUAGGCAAUGAUAGGUAGGCGGCCUUAACGGGUGGUCGCCCACACUGGGAUUGAGAUACGGCCCAGACUCCUACGGGAGGCAGCAGUCGAGAAUAGUCUACAAUGGUCGGAAGACUGAUAGUGCGACGCCGCGUGAACGAUGAAUCCCUUCGGGGUGUAAAGUUCUUUUAUAUGUGAGCAGUGCUUCUUAUAUUAACAGUAUGGGGAGAGAGAUAUUAGCAUAUGAAUAAGCAACGGCUAACUCCGUG